CUAUACCCUCCAUGCCAAAACUUUAUUUCUAUUAUAAAGCAAGACCUAGAGCUAACAGGGGGAGGGGAAUCAGCGCAGCUUUAUCGAAAACAGGCCCUCCCAUUCGCCUUCUUCGUCACAAAUCAACAAGCAGAGAGACCCCCUCUCCCCUUCACGUCUUCAUUUUCCUCAACCGUUACACACCCUAAUCCCCCUUGCUUCUUCGUCUCCACCCCGAAACCAGUCAAAGCAGCCAUUUAAAUUAACCCCAAACAGUCACCAAAAAUCGUUAAAUGGCUGUUUCCUUCAGCUGAAUUUAAAAGGACUUCGAAAAGGUCAAGUCCAAAGUCUAUUGUGUCGUCGAGGUUCGAGUUUCUUCCCGUCAAUGUUUCGGACUUGUUGAAAUCUCAUUACUGUUGAAGUUGUCGAAUCUGCUGGGUUAUCUGGUUCAGAGCAGUGGAUUUGUGCUCUAGUUGCUGUUUGUUGUUGAUCUUCCUUACCAAUAGAAGUCGGAGCUGUUUGCGGUUGUUUCUCCUGCAAUUAGUAGCUGAACACCCAUUUGAAGUAAUUUUCCGUCUAUAUUUGGCUAUUUUAAAGUCUUACUACUGCUGUCCCGAAAUUUUCAUAUAUAAAAAGCUGUUUGGAGCCGUGAAAUUUUCGCUCUUUGCCUGUUGAUUUGCGUUGUCGUUACACUGUUUCUCGUUGUUAUUCUGUUGUUAUGGAGCUACAUUUGUUUUAGUUCCAUACUUUAUUUGAUUAAUUUCUAUCGGGAAAAGGAAAUGAUUGGAGUUUCGUACUGCAUUUGGAGCUGUGUAGUCAAAUGCAUUUGCUGAAGAACCCGAAAUCACUGCGUGAGAUCUGCUGGGUCUCAUCGGAAUUUUGAGAGUCAAAUAUAGGGUAGUGGCUGAUUAUUUCUACUGCUAUCAAGGAAAUAUUCGCUGGAACAGGUGUUGAACCAACGCAUAAAUCUGGACUCAAGUGGUAAUGUUACUAUCUGAACAGAUUAUCGUUUGAUUUACUGGUUUUCUAAGUGUAAUUACUCUGCAUAUUUCCUCCUAUGGCUUGGCUUAUGUGUUAAAUUCCUGUGCAUUUAGUAGUUGCAGUGAAAAUGAUUUGGUGAUACUUCUGUUGGAAGUGUUUGAUGUUCUUAUUUAAAAUGGACAGUACAUGUCUUUUAUAUUUUCUUGUAAACAUGUUUCUUCCAUGUUUCACGCUUAUAUUAGGAAGAAAAUUGGAUAUGCUAGUGAUGAAUCAAGAUUAUUCAUGUCUCGAUUUCGUUUAUGCAUAUUAAGGGAAAAGACAAACUUAGAGAGUGACAUUAUGCAAACUUAUGCUUUCUCUCAUACAUGCAUUGUCAAUUUUCUUUAUUGGAAUGUCAUCAUACAAAGAAAUAUAAUUACAUAUGCUAUCUUCGUGAAUUGUUUAGGCGUGAUUAGAUUAGCAUUGAUUUGUUAAAUUGUUUCAAAUGGUUUCUCAAGCCAAUACUAAUGCGCUGCCACAAUAACCACUUGAUACAGUUAUGACUCUAUUUUCUAUAACCCAGGCCCCUCACUUAAUUAAUUUUAAAAUUCUUAGAACUUCAGACGUGCCAUUUAGCGACUUUUCAUGGCCUCCCGCAAAAUUCACAGCCGUUAGUUGCUUUAAGCGCGUCUUUAAUAAUUUUAUCUUCCUAAGUACGGGUGCACAUUUAUGUGACCCAAAUCCAAAUCUCAAUGAAUUUGAAAUAUGUCAAAUACCGCGGGCGCAUUUAUGUGAUAUGGUUCGCAACAUGUUUUUAACAACAUUGCAAUUCUCUUAAAAAUAUUAAAAGCGGUAUAAAAAUAAUUUAAAAUUGAACUAUAGGAUGAACAUGUAAAAAAAUCAGAUUUUUAGCCAAUUAUAAUAGUUUAAGCGACCGUGCUAGAACCACGGGAUCCGAGGGUGCCUAACACCUUCCCUCGGAUCAACAGAAUUACUUACUUAGAAUUUUUGGUUAGCAGACUCCAUCUGAGCAAUCGACAAUUUUCCCCGAUUUAGGAUUCUAAAUAAACCGGUGACUUGGGACACCAAAAGCCAAACCUAUCCCAAGUGGUGACUCUAAAUAAAUAAUCUCAUUUCGAAUACUGUCACUUUAAUUGGAAAAUCCAUUAUACGUUUAUCUUUCGGGGUAGCCGUGUAAUAAUGAGGUGUGACAUCCUAUUUCGAAUUUUUUUACUCAUCUACAAUAUUUUUCCCAAUUGAAUAUUUGACAAAUAGUUUUCAAGGCUAUUAGUGCAUUCAACAACGUGAAGACCAUUGCAUACGCACUAUCAAUCAACAAAUGUUAUUAUUGUAAUAUUAUCAUUAGCAGAAGAAAGAAGAAUAAGCUUUAUUAGUUAAAAAUGACAAAGAUAAUAUGGAUGACUCAAUAUAACAAUACUAAAAGUUUUUUUUAGUUUGAAGUUGAGAUUACUUAAAUACUUUUUGUCUGCUCAAAUUUUAAUGGACAAAAUUAUAUGAUAUCUAUUAUAGCGAUCGCGAUGUAAGUUUGACUUGGAAGUGAUUUGUGGAAUUAUUUCAAAAAAUGAAAUUUUAAUGUAUAUUUUGCUGUAAAUGAAUAUUUUUGUUGGGAUGAGUUGUUUUGUGUUGUUUGAUGAACUUUUUUUUCUAGCGAUCCCGAAGUAUACUUGAUGAGCAUGAAGUUUGAUUUGGAUAUGGGAAGUUCUUGUUGAAAAAUUAUUGAUUAUAUUUUAAUUUUAAUUUUUAUUUUUUUUACUGAAGAUGAUUGAUUUUCUUGGUUGUGGUGAAUUCUGAUUUUGGUAAGUCCACUUUGUGGUCAAAAUGAUUGAUUUUUGUUGCAAUUAGUUGUUUUGCAUUGAUAGAUGAACAUUUUUUCUAGGGACAACUAAGUUUAUUGAUGAGUAUGAAGUUUGACUUGGAAGUGAUGUGCAGAAUUACUUUGAUCUUUUAAUUUAUUAAAAGAUUGAGUUUUGGUUGCGAUUUGUUGUUUUUGUUGAUUGAUGAACCUUUUUUCAACCGGUUGUGAAGUAUAUUUGAUUAGUACGAAGUUUGACUUGGAAGUGGGAAGUAAAACUGAAAGCUGACUUGUUUUUUCUCUUCAUUAUGUUACUUUUAAAAAAAAAGGAAAGAUGGCUUAUUAUAGUUUGGAUUACACUUCCACAGAUCGAUUGACCUUGUCUUUGUCAGUGGGUUGAUCUGUGGUGAUUUGCUGCGGUUAUUUUAUUUUGUUUCCCUUUUUGGGUGCUCUAAUGUACCUAUUAUGCUAUUUAUUGUUUUACCACGUUUGAAAACUGUGUUGUUCCGACUCAUCCUCCAAAGUAGUGCAUUUUUGGAGAAUUCGACAUGGAUAUGACCCCACAUAUUUGGAGAGCCGGGGCAACAUAGGCUUAAAUGUUUUGAAUUGAUGCCCAAUCUGAAACUUAUUUAUAAUUGUCAUUAAAAAUAGAGAAUGCUAUUUAUCUAGUUCUGUGAAAUGCUUCUUUAAUUACUUUUGCUAAAAUACUUAGUUUUCAAUAUUCUAGUUAUUGGUAAUUAGGUCAGAAGAAACACAUCCUUGCUGUCCUUGGGCAAUUGGAUGUUUGAGUUGAAACUUGCUAGAUCAUGUGCUGUGCUCAUAGUUGGUGCAGUAUGCACUAAUAUCUUGGGUUUAUUCUUUGCUCAGGCAUCUUCAGGUAACAAUUUGGAGAAAGGAGAAUAUUGUUAGUUUCAGGAGGAAGGUCUACACUGAAUCCGAAUGCACCUCUUCAGGCUGUAAACUGAUUGCUUUAUCUUUUUAUAAAUAAAGAUUACAGAAUAAAAUAAAAUAAAUUGUAUAACAUGUAUCAAAGGAAAAUUUCUCAACUUUGUUAUAUGAAUUCAAUACAACAAAUUCUAAUUUAAACAUAAGAGUAAUAAUUUUACAUGGUCAUAUACCAAGGAUCAAUUGAAACCCACUUCACUAAUCUAAUUUGUUUGAACAUUAACAAUUUUUUUAUUGACACACAAAAAUAUAUAUCUGAAAUAGUAUCAAAUUUAGCAGAAAAUAAGGAAGAAGAAAUUGCUGAAAACGAAGAGAAGAUUUUCAAAUUACUUACUCGUGUUGGGUGAUAGCAAUGAAUGGUUAAGUCAGAAAAGAAGCAAGAAAAUUGCUCUACCGGAAAAUCUGAUAGAAAAAGCAUUAAACACGAACUUGUGAAAUUUGACAGAAAAAGCAUAAAACACGAAUUAUAAUCGUAUUUUCUUCUUAAAACGCAUUCAUCAAGUGCGAUUAUCCCUUCUUAAUUUUUCUCAUAUUCCUAAUAAUUUUACACCACUGAAAUUGUUGACAAUCGGAGAGAGAGAGUAGCAUGAAAAAAAUUUAUUUCACUAAACUAAAUUACUUUUUUUUUAAUUGAUAUUCCACCUGCUAUGAGUUCUCCAUCAAAAGGAACCUUUACUCUCCGUGUUUGAAACCUCUGAUUAAGUAUUUAAAAAAAUUUUUAACUAAAUAAACAUUAACAAAAGAAUAUUUCUCACAAAUUAAAGUAUUAAUCAAUUGUAUUUAAGUGAUAGGAUUUAAAAAAUUAAACUAAGUUAACAUUAACAAAAGAAUAUUUCUCACAAAUUAAAGUAUUAAUCAAUUAUAUUUAAGUGAUAAAAUUAUUUAAUUAACUUUAAAUUUUCUCUCUCUCUCCGAUUGUCAACAAUUUCAGUGGUGUAAAAUUAAUAGGAAUAUGAGAAAACUUAAGAAGGGAUAACCGCACUUGAUGAAUGUGUUUUAAGAAGAAAAUACGAUUAUAAUUCGUGUUUUAUGCUUUUUCUGUCAAAUUUCACAAGUUCGUGUUUUAUGUUUUUUCUAUCAGAUUUUCCGGUAGAGCAAUUUUCUUGCUUCUUUUCUGACUUAACCAUUCAUUGCAUCACCCAGCACCAGUAAGUACUUUGAAAAAUCUUCUCUUCUUUUUUAGCAGUUUUCUUCUUCCUUAUUUUCUGUUAAAUUUGAUACUAUUUCAGAUAUAUAUUUUUGUGGGUCUUUAAAAAAUCGUUAAUGUUCAAACAAAUUAGAUUAGUGAAGUGAGUUUCAAUUGAUUCUUGGUAUAUGACCAUGUAAAGUUAUUACUCUUAUGUUUAAAUUAGAAUUUGUUGUAUUGAAUUCAUAUAACAAAGUUGAGAAAUUUUCCUUUAAUACAUGUUAUACAAUUUAUUUUAUUUUAUUCUGUAAUCUUUAUUUCUGAAAAGAUAAAGGAAUCAGUUUACAACCUGAAGAAUAGAUAUUUUGACUAUUCCAUAAUGAUGGAAUGAAGGCAGUGUUAUUUAGCAUUUUCCACUCUUAUUAAUGAAACAUGCUCGAUUUUGUCUUGUUUUUCUUUUUUUAGUUUAUUUCCUAUUAAGACUAGUAUCCCAGUCUGCACUACAUGUGUUGUCUUUUUGUGUUAACCUUAUUGAAAAAUCGCAAAUUUACAAACUUUUUUAGUAGUCUCUAGAUUUGUGAGUGAAUAUCGUCUAUGCAUUUAUCACAACAUACAAGGUUUCUAAGAGUAGAAUUUUUUAAGUAGAGCCUGAUAUACAUUUUGCUUGUUACUUUAAUUUUACUAUUUCUUUAGCCGAGGCUCUAUCGGAAACAACCUCUCUGCCUUUAUAGGAUAGGGGUAAGGCUGCGUAUAUACUACCCUCCCCACACCUCAUAUAUGUGAUUAAGCUGGGUUUUUUGUUGUUGUUGUUGUUAGUAACAUGAUAUACAUUAGUUAUGUGUACAAGUGGAGCCUGAUAAGAUAACCUUAUAUGCAACAACUACAACAACAACAACUACCCAGUAUAGUCCCACAAAGUGGGGUCUGGGGAGGGUAANNNN
Molecule: long non-coding RNA, 5764 nt
Filed under: Nicotiana benthamiana
Lineage: Eukaryota; Viridiplantae; Streptophyta; Magnoliopsida; Solanales; Solanaceae
Description: long non-coding RNA (NBEN_LNC011542)
Source: RNAcentral